Molecule: ribosomal RNA, 663 nt
Filed under: uncultured bacterium
Lineage: Bacteria
Description: bacterial SSU rRNA
Rfam family: Bacterial small subunit ribosomal RNA
Source: RNAcentral
GAUAACACUUAGAAAUAGGUGCUAAUACCGCAUAAGCGCACGAAGCCGCAUGGAUUUGUGUGAAAAACUCCGGUGGUGUAAGAUGGACCCGCGUCUGAUUAGCUUGUUGGCGGGGUAACGGCCUACCAAAGCGACGAUCAGUAGCCGGCUUGAGAGAGUGACCGGCCACAUUGGGACUGAGACACGGCCCAAACUCCUACGGGAGGCAGCAGUGGGGGAUAUUGCACAAUGGGGGGAACCCUGAUGCAGCGACGCCGCGUGGGUGAAGAAGUAUUUCGGUAUGUAAAGCUCUAUCAGCAGGGAAGAAGAUGACAGUACCUGAGUAAGAAGCCCCGGCUAACUACGUGCCAGCAGCCGCGGUAAUACGUAGGGGGCAAGCGUUAUCCGGAUUUACUGGGUGUAAAGGGAGCGUAGACGGUUGUAUAAGUCUGGAGUGAAAGCCCGGGGCCCAACCCCGGGACUGCUUUGGAAACUGUGUAACUUGAGUACAGGAGGGGCAGGCGGAAUUCCUGGUGUAGCGGUGAAAUGCGUAGAUAUCAGGAGGAACACCGGCGGCGAAGGCGGCCUGCUGGACCGUGACUGACGUUGAGGCUCGAGAGCGUGGGGAGCAAACAGGAUUAGAUACCCUGGUAGUCCACGCCGUAAACGAUGACUGCUAGGUGU